Molecule: ribosomal RNA, 532 nt
Filed under: uncultured bacterium
Lineage: Bacteria
Description: bacterial SSU rRNA
Rfam family: Bacterial small subunit ribosomal RNA
Source: RNAcentral
AAUAGAUACCCUGGUAGUCUUGGCCCUAAACGAUGUUCACUAGGUGUCGGGGAUUUUUCUUCGGUGCCGCAGCUAACGCAUUAAGUGAACCGCCUGGGGACUACGACCGCAAGGUUGAAACUCAAAGGAAUUGGCGGGGGCCCGCACAAGCGGUGGAGCAUGUGGCUUAAUUCGAUGCAACGCGAAGAACCUUACCAGGGUUUGACAUGUAACUGCAAGCUCCCGAAAUGGAGUCGCUUUCGAAGGUGUUACACAGGUGGUGCAUGGCUGUCGUCAGCUCGUGUUGUGAAAUGUUGGGUUAAGUCCCGCAACGAGCGCAACCCUCAUGUUCUGUUGCCAGCGAGUAAUGUCGGGAACUCGGAACAAACUGCCUCUGUAAAGAGGAGGAAGGUGGGGAUGACGUCAAGUCUUCAUGCCCCUUACACCCUGGGCUGCACACAUGCUACAAUGGCCGGUACAAAGAGCAGCGAUACCGCGAGGUGGAGCAAAUCUCAAAAAGCCGGUCUCAGUUCGGAUUGGAGUCUGCAACUCG